CCACAUUUGGCUUGUAGACAUUCUCAACUAGCUACUGAUGUUGUUUUCUUUGUGUAAUUGGAUAAUUUUUCUUCCUUCUGCCCAUACAGAGUGUAAGCUGUCCCGCCCAGGCCCUCCUGCAACCAUAGUAACCAUUGAUGAAGAGAGUCCCAAUGGUACCGUCUUGGUGGAAAACAUGCAGAUAAACGGCCGUGCGCAGGAUCCAGGUCGAACCAUUUCGCUGACUCUGCUGGACAACUACGACUAUUGGGUGAUUUUGGAACCGGCCCAGCAGCGGCUGUAUCUCAACAGCACAGGACGCGUUCUGGACAGAGACCCCCCAAACUACAUCAUGACCAUAGUGGUGCAAGUCCAGUGCACCAACGAGCUGGUUGGUACUGUUAUUUUCCACGAGGUGCGGAUCGUCGUGAGGGACAGGAACGACAACAUCCCCCGCUUUCAGCAGCCGCGUUACUAUGUUGCCGUCAAUGAGCUCACGCCAGUCGGAACAACGAUUUUCACUGGAUUCUCAGGGAAUAAUGGCGCCACCGAUAUCGACGAUGGACCUAAUGGACACAUAGAAUACAGCGUCCUUUACAACCCCAAUGACCCGGAGUCCAACAAGACAGUAAGCGUUGGAAACACGCUUUCAGGGCACAUUAUCCUGGCAGAGAGGCUAAACUACGAGGAGAGGACACGUUACCUGGUUGUUGUCCAAGCUAAUGACCGAGCACCUUACCCACCCAACAGGCGAACGGCUACAACCACCCUGACCGUGGACGUUCUGGAUGGAGACGACCUGGGCCCCAUGUUCCUGCCGUGUGUGUUAGUGAACAACACGCGUGACUGCAACCCGCUCUCCUACCGCGCUGCUAUCCCUGAAUUCACUGAACCGAGCAAAUUGAACCCACUGAACGUGACCCCCCCGAUUCGUGCCGUGGACAUGGACAGGAACAUCCAGCCUCCAUCCAACAGACCCGGAAUUCUGUACUACAUCCUGGUUGCCACAUUUGCAGAGUAUUUCUCCCUGAACAAAACCACAGCGGAGCUGCGCGUUCUGCAACCAAUCAACAGAGACUUAUAUCAGAGGUUCACCCUCAUCAUCAAGGCUGAGCAGGACAACGGACACCCCCUCCCGGCCUACGCCGACCUCAUCAUCGAGAUCCUGGAUGAGAACAACCAGGCGCCGUACUUCCAGCUCGCCACCUAUCAGGGAUACGUGAGUGAGUCUUCGCCGGUGGGUACAACCAUCUCAGGCAGCUCAAACCUGACGACGCCCCUGGAAAUCAUCGCACUGGACAAUGACAUCGAGGAGACAAAAGACCCGUUGGUGAAGAUUUCCCUCGACAACUACGCCACGAUAUUUGGUGUGACUCCGACUGGCAUAGUGCGCUACCUGAGACUGGUUACACCUGUGGACCGGGAGAAGCAGAUGGCUUACACGUUCACGAUGGUGGCAUCGGAUGGUGUCCAGCAGAGCACCCCAGUGACUGUCAACAUCCUGGUCAUCGACGCCAAUGACAACACGCCCACAUUCGCCAAGGCCUCCUACAAUGUUGAAGUCUUCACCGACAUGCAGCCGGGGGAAACCGUUCUCCAGUUAACUGCAGCGGAUGCUGAUGAAGGAUUGAACGGCCUGGUGACGUAUGAGAUAUUGGCCGGGGCCCAGGGACACUUCAUCAUUAAUAAUCGCACAGGUCGCCUCACCGUGGCGCCAGGCGUGGCUUUAACUGUGGGACAGUCUUAUGCACUGACUGUCAAGGCCUCAGACGGGGCUCCAGAAACACAGCGAAGGAGCUCCAUCACCACCGUCUACAUUGAGGUUUUGCCACCCAAUAACCAGAGCCCGCCGCGCUUCCCCCUCCUCACCUACAGCCUGGAGGUCAGCGAGGCCAUGAGGAUCGGAGCGAUCCUGCUCAAUCUGCAGGUGAGAUUCUUUUCUGUAAAUGAGAUCGGGCUGUUACUUCUGGGGAAGCCUCUGGACAGAGAGAGCACAGAUCAGUACCGCCUGAUCGUCACAGCCUCCGAUGGGAACCCUGGAGGGACUUCCACCACCACGGUCGACAUUGUCGUCACAGAUGUCAACGACAACGAUCCCAAAUUUGACUUCGCCAUACCUGUUAACUUCACCGUCCGAGAAGAAGAGGCCGACCUUUUUGUGGGCCUUGUGAGGGCUACAGAUCCAGAUGCGGGGGCUAACGGCCAGGUGGGCUACCGGAUCAUAAAUCACCCCGACUUGUUUGUGAUCAGUGCCAAUGGCAGCAUCUACACGAAGGUGCCUCUGGACCGGGAGCUCCGGAGCCAGUAUGAUCUUGUUGUGGAGGCGUCGGACGGGGCUGUGGAUCCACGGCGGACCACCUUGACCCUCUCCAUCCAGGUCACAGAUAUUGAUGACAGCAGUCCGGUUUUCUCCCAGCAAAAUUACGUGGUGAAUGUUCCAGAAAACACGCCUGUGGGGACCGUCGUAUUGAAGCUAAGCGCAACAGACUCGGACCUCUUCUCCAAUGUCACCUACCGGAUCAGGACUGAGGCAGCCCGACAGCUGUUUUCUCUGAACCCUAUUACAGGGGAGCUGGCUGUGCUGCAGACGCUGGAUUUUGAGGACCUGGCAGCUUUGGGCAUUGGGACCUCUUAUGCUUUCCAGGUAGAGGCUAUAGACCAAGGAGGGAUCAUGCCCCCGGGGCAGGCAACUGUCACAGUCCGCAUCACGGUAGGAGACAUGAAUGACUUCUCACCCGUGUUUAGCCAAGACCUGUACAAAGGCAUGGUGGCACCCAAUGCAGAGAAAGGAACGGUGAUAACAACGGUGUUAGCGGAGGAUCGGGACCCUCCGGAUACCCCAGCCAGCUUUGUCCGCUACCGAGUUGACCUGGACAGGUCUCCCUACAGCGGCAGCAUCUUUGACGUGGAGGAGGAAACGGGAAGAAUCGUCACUAAGGUCAACCUCAACGAAGAACCCAGCGUCACCUUUAAGUUGUUUAUCAUCGCCUUUGACGACGGCGAACCGGUGAAGACCAACAGCACUCUGGUGGAGAUCACUGUCCUCCAGCCCUCUCGGAUCCCCAUCUUCACCCAGGAGGAGUACAGGUUUCCUCCAGUAAGCGAGCUGGCUCCAUUCGGCACCCCGGUGGGGACGGUUCUGGCUGCUGCUGUCAAUCAAAGCAUCUUCUACUCCAUCGUAGGAGGCAAUGAUUUAGGUCAUUUUCAGAUCAACAACAAGACAGGCGUCAUCUCCACAGCCAAACCUCUGGACUACGAAAAUGUGACAAGCUACGUCCUGCGGGUGCAGGCGGACUCCAUGGAGGUCGUCAUGUCCAACCUGCGCGUUCCCUCUAAAACUAACACAGCCAAGGUGUUCAUCGAAGUGCAGGAUGAGAAUGACCACCCACCCGUCUUCUCCAGGAAGCUCUACAUCGGCGGCGUGACAGAGGACACCAAGAUCUUCAGCUCCGUGCUCAAGAUAGCCACUGACAAGGACACCGGGAAUUACAGCGAGAUGGCGUACCGCCUGAUUAUUCCGCCCACCCAAGAGGGCCAGGACAGCUUCGUCAUCGAGACCUACACAGGCAUCAUCAAGUCGGCCAUCAUGUUUCGGAACAUGCGCAGGUCCUACUUCAAGUUUCAAGUCAUUGCCACCGACGACUACGGAGCAGGGCUCAGCAGCAGUGCUGAAGUGGUGGUUUCUGUGGUCAACGCCUUGGACAUGCAAGUUGUUGUGUCCACCGUGCCGCCCACUUUAGUGGAGGAGAAGAAGGACGAGCUCAUUAGUAUUUUGGAGCGCCACGUCCAGGACCAGAUUCCGGGUGCCAAGGUGAUAGUAGAGUCCAUCGGCCCCCGUCGUCAUGGCGAUGGCUUUGAGCUAGAGGACUACACUAAAUCCGACCUGAUGGUCUACGCCAUUGACCCCCUCACAAACAGGGCCAUCUCUCCCAAGGAGCUCUUCAAAUUCCUCGAUGGCAACGUCCUGGAAAUCAAUAAGGAGUUCCAGCCGUAUCUGGGGGAAGGCGGCCGCAUCCUGGAGAUCCGCUCCCCCGACAUCGUGGCCAGCGUGAAGAAGGCCGCCCAGGCCGUGGGCUACACGGAGGGGGCGCUCCUGGCCCUGGCCAUCAUCAUCAUCCUCUGCUCGCCUGGCUCGUGCCCACGUGCGUGCGCGCCGCUCUCCCCCUCCCUUCAUCUGUUAUCGUCAGCCUGA
Long non-coding RNA from Takifugu rubripes (torafugu), 4171 nucleotides. NCBI's taxonomy places the organism in Eukaryota, Metazoa, Chordata, Actinopteri, Tetraodontiformes, Tetraodontidae. The record is from Ensembl.